This 468-nucleotide ribosomal RNA is filed under the name uncultured bacterium. RNAcentral's name for it is "partial 16S ribosomal RNA". It matches the Rfam family "Bacterial small subunit ribosomal RNA", at positions 28 to 507 of the family's 1533-position model. The record is from RNAcentral.
GACGAACGCUGGCGGCGUGCUUAACACAUGCAAGUCGAACGGAAAGGCCCUGCUUUUGUGGGGUGCUCGAGUGGCGAACGGGUGAGUAACACGUGAGUAACCUGCCCUUGACUUUGGGAUAACUUCAGGAAACUGGGGCUAAUACCGGAUAGGAGCUCCUGCUGCAUGGUGGGGGUUGGAAAGUUUCGGCGGUUGUGGAUGGACUAGCUGCUUAUCAGCUUGUUGGUGGGGUAGUGGAUUACCAAGGCUUUGACGGGUAGCCGGCCUGAGAGGUUGAACAGCCACAUGGGGCCUGAGAGACGGACCAGAAUGCAACGGGCGGCAGCGGGCGGGAGCAUUACGCAAUAGGCGGAAGCCUGAGGUGACGGCCCUGCGUGCGUAAUGACCUGCUUCGAGUUAUGAACCGCUUUCGACGGAGACGAAGAGUGCGUGACGGUAAUGGGUAAAGAAGCACCGGCUAACUACGUG